UACGGGGGGAGCAAGCGUUGUUCGGAUUUAUUGGGCGUAAAGAGCUCGUAGGCGGCUUGGCAAGUCGGGUGUGAAAACUCCAGGCUCAACCUGGAGAUGCCACUCGAGACUGCUAUGGCUAGAGUCCGGUAGGGGACCACGGAAUUCCUGGUGUAGCGGUGAAAUGCGCAGAUAUCAGGAGGAACACCGGUGGCGAAGGCGGUGGUCUGAGCCGGCACUGACGCUGAGGAGCGAAAGCGUGGGGAGCGAACAGG
RNAcentral lists this ribosomal RNA (254 nucleotides) under uncultured bacterium. RNAcentral's name for it is "partial 16S ribosomal RNA". It matches the Rfam family "Bacterial small subunit ribosomal RNA", at positions 524 to 776 of the family's 1533-position model. The record is from RNAcentral.